UACGUAGGGUCCGAGCGUUAAUCGGAAUUAUUGGGCGUAAAGCGCGCGCAGGCGGUCCUUUAAGUCUGAUGUGAAAGCCCACGGCUCAACCGUGGAGGGUCAUUGGAAACUGGGGGACUUGAGUGCAGAAGAGGAAAGCGGAAUUCCACGUGUAGCGGUGAAAUGCGUAGAGAUGUGGAGGAACACCAGUGGCGAAGGCGGCUUUCUGGUCUGUAACUGACGCUGAGGCGCGAAAGCGUGGGGAGCAAACAGG
RNAcentral lists this ribosomal RNA (253 nucleotides) under uncultured bacterium. RNAcentral describes it as "partial 16S ribosomal RNA". It matches the Rfam family "Bacterial small subunit ribosomal RNA", at positions 524 to 776 of the family's 1533-position model. The record is from RNAcentral.